Molecule: ribosomal RNA, 429 nt
Filed under: Gemmatimonadota bacterium
Lineage: Bacteria; Pseudomonadati; Gemmatimonadota
Description: Gemmatimonadetes bacterium partial 16S ribosomal RNA
Rfam family: Bacterial small subunit ribosomal RNA
Source: RNAcentral
UAGGGAAUCUUCGGCAAUGGACGAAAGUCUGACCGAGCAACGCCGCGUGAGUGAAGAAGGUUUUCGGAUCGUAAAACUCUUUUGUUAGAGAAGAACAAGGACGUUAGUAACUGAACGUCCCCUGACGGUAUCUAACCAGAAAGCCACGGCUAACUACGUGCCAGCAGCCGCGGUAAUACGUAGGUGGCAAGCGUUGUCCGGAUUUAUUGGGCGUAAAGCGAGCGCAGGCGGUUUCUUAAGUCUGAUGUGAAAGCCCCCGGCUCAACCGGGGAGGGUCAUUGGAAACUGGGAGACUUGAGUGCAGAAGAGGAGAGUGGAAUUCCAUGUGUAGCGGUGAAAUGCGUAGAUAUAUGGAGGAACACCAGUGGCGAAGGCGGCUCUCUGGUCUGUAACUGACGCUGAGGAUCGAAAGCGUGGGGAGCAAACAGG